Pseudoliparis swirei is the source of this 697-nucleotide long non-coding RNA. RefSeq lists it as uncharacterized. NCBI's taxonomy places the organism in Eukaryota, Metazoa, Chordata, Actinopteri, Perciformes, Liparidae. The record is from RefSeq and is a predicted model, not a curated record. The transcript is spliced from 3 exons.
GUCCCAAUGCUGACAGCGGGUCAGAACUCAACCCGUCCACGAGGGUGGAGAUUGAGAUUGGGCCAACGGAGGUGUGAUCACUUUACACAUCCGUCCUAUGACGAGAUUCACACCUCCACUCUGACCACGCCGGAGUGCGUGGGCAGCCGAUGAGCGACGACAUGAGGUUUCCCCACACGGCGGACGACUGGAAGAUGAAGAAGAAGAUGCCAAAGUACUGGUUGAUGACGUCGGAUCCUCUCUUGCCGUCCCUGGCGGCCUGCGCGUUCCCGGAGAUGGUCAGACUUCUCCCGGACGACUCCACCCUGUUGUUAAGAUACAGCUUGAUGUGUCUGCUGAUUUAUUCUGCUGAUGUCAUCACUUUUUUUCUUUUGCUGCUCUGAUACGAGCGGCAUGAUUCUCCCGCUGAGCCUCUGUCAUACUCAUUGCAUGUGUUGUAACUCUGUAAUGUUUCCUUCUGGUCACAUGACACAUCUUGUUCUGUCCAUCCUGGAGAGGGAUCCUCCUCUGUUGCUCUCCUGAAGGUUUCUUCCCUUUGUUCCCCGUGAAAGGGUUUUUAUUUUUGUUGGGAGUUGUUCCUGAUCCGAUGUGAGGUCAAAGGUCAGGGAUGUCUAUGUGUACAGAUUGUAAAGCCCACUGGGGCAAAUUUGUCAUUUGUGAUAAUGGGCUAUACAAAAUAAACUGAAUUGAAUUGAAA